Molecule: microRNA precursor, 202 nt
Organism: Oryza rufipogon (brownbeard rice)
Lineage: Eukaryota; Viridiplantae; Streptophyta; Magnoliopsida; Poales; Poaceae
Rfam family: MIR812 microRNA precursor family
Source: Rfam
UUUAAGUGCAACCAUGAGUUUCCGUGCCCAACUUUGAUCUUUUGUCUUAUUUAAUUUUUUUUAUGAUUAUAAUUUUACUAUUAUUAGAUGAUAAAACAUGAAUAAUACUUUAUGCGUGACUUUUGUUUUAAUUUUUUUAAAAACUUUUUUAAAUAAGACGAACAAUUAAAGUUGGACACGAAAAAACAUGACUGCACUUAAA